Molecule: non-coding RNA, 73 nt
Organism: Bos taurus (domestic cattle)
Lineage: Eukaryota; Metazoa; Chordata; Mammalia; Artiodactyla; Bovidae
Source: Rfam
UCCCUGAUGGUCCAAUGGUUAAGACUACACACUUCCAAUGUAGGGGACCCAGGUUCAAUCCCUGCUCAGGGAA